UAGGCAUGGUGAAAUACCUGUAAUCGUACAUGUUUUGUAUAAUUUUUCUAUUUGAUUGUCAAAACGGGUUUUCAUUUUCUUUUAGGAAACCCCUUAAUUUCAGGCUAUACCCUAAAAAGGAAACAAGAAUCUUCCAAAUAACUAUAGAUUGGUCAUUCCGUGUUAGGAAUCACACGUUAAAAGACUCUUGACUACGAUCGAGAUGGGCUAACAAAAAUGAAAAAGGCAGUGAAGGCCAUACAUACAUCUGGAAAUUAUAUGCUAUCUCUCUCGCUCUCCCAGACGUCAUACGGGCUAUCUGGCUGGAGGUAGUGGUUGCGUUCAUCAGUGUGUGCAUCGUACCUGUUACAGAUAAUAACUUAUUACAAAACGAUAACACCUCAAAAGACGAUGAUGACAAUGAAAAUGACAGCAGUGAUGAAGAUGAUGAUGAUGAUUAUCAAGAUGCCUUCGUUUUUUGUGAUAAAAGUUAUGGAUUAAAAAAUCAUGAAAACAUGCGAAUUAUUGUUUAUUUUCAUACUUGAGGUUCAUUAUUAUCCUAAUUUUUAUAACAAUAUACUAUUAUUUUGAUACCGUAUUAAUCCACUAAAUUAUUCAAUGGUUUUUAGUCCUUUCUCUUAAAUUUAUUUGACAACUCAUUCUAAACUAAGCAACAUGAUACCACAUAACCUUUCACUUUCAGAUCUGUCUGGUUAAGGUUUAACAAUUGAAUUAAUGUUAGGCGAAUUGAUUUUGGGUUUUUAGA
Leptinotarsa decemlineata (Colorado potato beetle) is the source of this 745-nucleotide long non-coding RNA. NCBI's taxonomy places the organism in Eukaryota, Metazoa, Arthropoda, Insecta, Coleoptera, Chrysomelidae. The record is from RefSeq and is a predicted model, not a curated record.